This 327-nucleotide ribosomal RNA is filed under the name uncultured eukaryote. RNAcentral's name for it is "partial 18S ribosomal RNA". It matches the Rfam family "Eukaryotic small subunit ribosomal RNA", at positions 1470 to 1796 of the family's 1831-position model. The record is from RNAcentral.
CCCUUAGAUGUUCUGGGCCGCACGCGCGCUACACUGACGAAUGCAACGAGCUUAUAACCUUGGCCGAAAGGUCUGGGUAAUCUCCAAAUUUCGUCGUGAUGGGGAUAGAUUAUUGCAAUUAUUAAUCUUCAACGAGGAAUGCCUAGUAAGCGCAAGUCAUCAGCUUGCGUUGAUUACGUCCCUGCCCUUUGUACACACCGCCCGUCGCUCCUACCGAUUGAAUGGUCCGGUGAAGCGUUCGGACCGUGGCCUUUGGACGGUUCGCCGUCUGUUGGCUGCGGGAAGUUCGUUAAACCUUAUCAUUUAGAGGAAGGAGAAUUCGUAACA